RNAcentral lists this long non-coding RNA (554 nucleotides) under Homo sapiens (human). Its description in RNAcentral is "HSALNT0249951". Lineage: Eukaryota; Metazoa; Chordata; Mammalia; Primates; Hominidae. The record is from RNAcentral.
AACGCAGCCAUGGGAAGGACCCUCAUUCAAAGCAAAGAGCAGCAAGAGCACUGGGGUGGGUCUGAGCAGGGCAUGUUUGGGAGACAGAAGACCAAUGUGGCAAGAGCAGUGAGACGGUGGCCAGGCAGUUUCAAUUGGACUGGGAGAGAUAAAAGAGGAAGCAGGAAACGAAUGCAGAGGGCCAUAGCAGGGGUGCAGGCAAGAGAAGAGGGUGGCUGUGGUGGUGCAGAGAAGCGGGCAGUCAUGAUUUACUUCUGAUGAAGAGCCAGCAGGACCUGAGGACAGACCAGCUGCAAGCCGUGGGAAGGAAGAAGCAGCACUGUAACAUGUCCAUAAUGGCCCCAACGCCCAAGCUGGAAGGUUGUGGGUUUACAGGAAUGAGGGCAAGCAACACCUGGCCCGCCCAGGGCGGAAAACCGCUUAAAGGAAUUCUUAAGACACAAACAAAAGCAUGAGCGAUCUGUGUCUUAAGGGCAUGUUCCUGCUGCAAUUAAUUCAGCCCAUCCCUUCCUUUCCCAUAGGGGACUUUUAGUUAAUUUAAUAUCUAUAGAAAC